UACGGAGGGUGCAAGCGUUAUCCGGAAUCACUGGGCGUAAAGGGCGCGUAGGCGGUCUGUUAAGUCUGGCGUUAAAGCCUGGGGCUCAACCCCAGAUCAGCGUUGGAUACUGGCAGGCUAGACGGCUGGAGAGGCGAGUGGAAUUACCAGUGUAGCGGUGGAAUGCGUAGAUACUGGUAGGAACACCCAUUGCGAAGGCAGCCCGCUGGACAGCACGUGACGCUGAGGCGCGAAAGUGUGGGGAGCAAACCGGAUUAGAUA
Molecule: ribosomal RNA, 261 nt
Filed under: uncultured prokaryote
Description: partial 16S ribosomal RNA
Rfam family: Bacterial small subunit ribosomal RNA
Source: RNAcentral